This 274-nucleotide ribosomal RNA is filed under the name uncultured bacterium. Its description in RNAcentral is "partial 16S ribosomal RNA". It matches the Rfam family "Bacterial small subunit ribosomal RNA", at positions 523 to 796 of the family's 1533-position model. The record is from RNAcentral.
AUACGUGGGGAGCAAGCGUUGUUCGGAUGUACUGGGCGUAAAGAGCACGGAGGCGGGUGAGUAAGUCGGUCGUGAAAUCCUUUGGCUCAACUAGAGAAUUGCGGCCGAAACUAUUCAUCUGGAGUCUAUCAGAGGGAAUUGGAAUCCGAGGUGUAGCGGUGAAAUGCGUAGAGAUCUCGGAGAACACCAGUGGCGAAGGCGAAUUCCUGGGAUAGUACUGACGCUGAGGUGCGAAAGUGUGGGGAGCAAACAGGAUUAGAAACCCCAGUAGUCC